This 1134-nucleotide long non-coding RNA is filed under the name Homo sapiens (human). Its description in RNAcentral is "non-protein coding lnc-IRS1-2:9". Lineage: Eukaryota; Metazoa; Chordata; Mammalia; Primates; Hominidae. The record is from RNAcentral.
AUUCUACUGACUCCAAGUUCACGCAGCUGUUCAUCCCCUGCUUAAUGUACUGGUGAGUUCCUUGAAGCCCUGAACCGAGGACUUCUUGUGUACUUUAACAUUUGUUAUAUCUGAAGAUAUUCUGAUUGGCAACAUUUUUAACAUAGAGAACUGUUUAAAGAAAAUACCGCCAGCACACAACUCAUCCACAAAUUGCUGUUUUUGAAAAAGAUGGAGAGGCUGUGACUGAGAUCAUCAGAGAACCAGCCCGGCACCCCAAACAUAAUAGGGCAAAGGAGUCAGAUGAGAAUUUUGUUCAGUAUGAGACACUGGACAACAAGACAGGACCCUUGACCUCAGAAAUGCAGGAAUUCAGGAAUAUUAUAGAACAUGAAGUAGCAGAGCCGUGGAGGAGAAUUUAUAGCACUAAUCUUGAGCACUUUCCCCCGAGGACUCUGCGCUGUUUUCACAAAGGCCUCUCGGAAUGCCAGGCUGUGAAAGGUAGAAAUGUAAACACGGGGACAGGAGUGUCCUUCAGUCUAAAGAGUGAGCCACGCAGGUUUCUAGUUGCCAGCAUUCCAGUAGUGGUACUGGGAAAUGGUUUUAUAGGAUAAACAAAUCACCCAAAUGCAGAAAAUGCAAUUCCACUGAAGCAAAUCCAACUUCCUUUCCUGACGGAGAAUGUAAUUAAAUCCUGCUUCAGGAGGACGGUUUAUAUCCUCUGCUGCUGGGGGUCUCGGCUCAUGCUCAUCGCUGGUGUUUACAAGAUGACAUUACCUGCCUCCUGUGACAUGCUGAGGCAGCCCUGACUUUGAAGAUGGGGCGGUGGUGCAUGUGAGGGAAGGGGGAUGAGUGAGGCUGUGUUUCAUUUGCAGAGCUUGGCUGUUCAUCUCUCACAUUCACAUCUGACACCAGAAGCCCACACCAUGCUUGGCUUUUCCAAAACAGUGAUUCUAAUGUAACACCCUAAUAAGCUGUGUUAACUCACCUUUCAGAAGGAGGCUGGGGGGACAUACAUCACAACAAGUUGAGAGGAAGGGGUGAUUGUAACAAUAUUAAAUAUAAUUAUCACCAGCAGAAGUUCUAUGAGAUGAAGUGAAUGAAUCACAGCUCAUGAUGUCUUCAAAAUACAAUUAAAAGUGCAAUUUUACUUUA